UAUAAGACUGUAAGGGUUGUUGGAGACUACGACGUAGAUAGGUCUGGUGUGUAAGUGGUGUGAGCCAUUGAGCUAACAGAUACUAAUUGCCCGAGAGGCUUAACUAU
Molecule: ribosomal RNA, 107 nt
Filed under: Actinobacillus equuli subsp. equuli
Lineage: Bacteria; Pseudomonadati; Pseudomonadota; Gammaproteobacteria; Pasteurellales; Pasteurellaceae
Description: partial 23S ribosomal RNA
Rfam family: Bacterial large subunit ribosomal RNA
Source: RNAcentral